GACGAACGCUGGCGGCGUGCUUAACACAUGCAAGUCGAACGGAAAGGACCUGCUUUUGUGGGGUGCUCGAGUGGCGAACGGGUGAGUAACACGGGAGUAACCUGCCCUUGACUUUAGGAUAACUUCAGGAAACUGGGGCUAAUACCGGAUAGGAGCACCAGCUGCAUGGUGGGGGUUGGAAAGGUUCGGCGGUUGGGGAGGGACUCGCGGCUGAUCAGCUUGUUGGGGGGGUAGUGGCUUACCAAGGCUUUGACGGGUAGCCGGCCUGAGAGGGUGACCGGCCACAUUGGGACUGAGAUACGGCCCAGACUCCUACGGGAGGCAGCAGUGGGGAAUAUUGCACAAUGGGCGGAAGCCUGAUGCAGCAACGCCGCGUGCGGGAUGACGGCCUUCGGGUUGUAAACCGCUUUCGCCUGUGACGAAGCGUGAGUGACGGUAAUGUGUAAAGAAGCACCGGCUAACUACGUG
This 468-nucleotide ribosomal RNA is filed under the name uncultured bacterium. Its description in RNAcentral is "partial 16S ribosomal RNA". It matches the Rfam family "Bacterial small subunit ribosomal RNA", at positions 28 to 507 of the family's 1533-position model. The record is from RNAcentral.